CAGCUAUUGGCGCUGCACUGGUCGAUAGAGCUGGAAGAAAGCCCCUUCUCUUGAUCUCGGGGACAGAAUUGGUCCUAGGAUGCAUAGUAACUGCCCUUUCAUUCUUUCUAAAGGUUCAUGAUCUGGCAGCUGAUGCUGUCCCGAUACUUGCCGUCACCGGCAUUCUGGUAAUAAUCUCACCUUCCUUGAUCUCUUUCUGGCUCUAUCUAGUUGGCAGCCACAAC
RNA transcript from Eucalyptus grandis, 224 nucleotides. RefSeq lists it as uncharacterized. The record is from RefSeq and is a predicted model, not a curated record. NCBI's taxonomy places the organism in Eukaryota, Viridiplantae, Streptophyta, Magnoliopsida, Myrtales, Myrtaceae. The transcript is spliced from 3 exons.